RNAcentral lists this long non-coding RNA (380 nucleotides) under Erythranthe guttata (spotted monkey flower). Its description in RNAcentral is "long non-coding RNA (EGUT_LNC000575)". The record is from RNAcentral. Lineage: Eukaryota; Viridiplantae; Streptophyta; Magnoliopsida; Lamiales; Phrymaceae.
GAAGAGAUGGCCGCUGAUUCGAUUUGAUUUUGAAAAGAAGAACCCUAAGUUGGCGGAUUCAAUUUGGAGAGAUUGUCGCUGCUGGAUUUGAGUUUUGGGUAAAAGAAAACUCUAGGUUUCCCUAAUUCGAUUUGAGGAGAAAGGCGUUGAUAAAAAAUGGAAUAUAAGUGGGAAAAUAAAAAAUAAAAAAAUAAAAAAUAAAAAAUAAAUAUAAAAUGACAUUUAAAUGUAAAUGACGAAAUUACCCUGCCGCAUUAUUGAAAUCCGGCGAAGUUCUGAACGGAAUACAUUUUCGGGGCAAACUGCUCCUAGUUUUAUAUUUUGAAGGGGGAAAGUCUCUUUUAUAUAUUUUCAGGGGGGAAAGUGCAAAAAGUUGAUUU